Molecule: long non-coding RNA, 1015 nt
Organism: Juglans microcarpa x Juglans regia
Lineage: Eukaryota; Viridiplantae; Streptophyta; Magnoliopsida; Fagales; Juglandaceae
Exons: 3
Source: RefSeq, a predicted model, not a curated record
UUUCUCCACACGUUUAUUUUCCCCGCAUGUUUUAAAUUUUUUUUUUUGUUUUUCUUCUCUUUCCGUCUAUAUUUUUUUUUUCACACGGCUUAUUUCCGUUGCCCACAGUAUGCAUGCACACACACGGCUUACCCUUCCUUCCGCACACACGUCUCUUUUAUCCCUAGGGUUUUUCUUUUGUUUUGCUAUAUUUAUUUACGUUACACUUUUCACGCACACUGCACAGCCCAGCCCCUCUUGCCGUUGCAUUCAUCUUCCCCAAGGCUCCUCCUCCUCCACACCGUGAGUCCUUCCCCAUAGCGCAGCCGUGCAUCACCUGAACCGCUAACCACCGUGGGAAAGCCAUCCGGCCCCAGCCACAGCUCGAAACAGAGCCUGAAACAGACCUUCACAAAAGCCCAAACGUGAGCAUCCCAAGCACCUCUCGGGUUAUCCUUGUUUCCGUAAGCAAUGGUAGUUCCUCUGCAAGCUACCAGCUUUCGUCACAGCCAUGCACCACCGAGAACCAACACCUCUCAGUCGCAGCAUCAAAUGGUUGCGUUGGGAUUGUUCAUCAUUCGGGCAACCUCGAGCAGCACACAUGCAUGGUCAACAGCGAAUCAACACCUCCACAUAGUUGCCGCCGGUUCAUCCACCUCACGAAAACCUCUGUCCAGACCCCACCACCAUGCCCAGCCACAUGAAGCCGCCGCCCAACGCCUCCCGUAGCCUCCGUUGCAAGCCACGAAACUCCCCUGUUUUAGCCACCGAAAACAGAGCAACACAGCCCGGUGCCCUUGUCAUUCAACGCCACCACGCACGGUGCCAACGCCUCCACGUCGUUACCACCGGCACAGAGAACUCCGACGGUCACUCCAAGCCACUCCUAUCCGCCGCGUCCCGCUCGUACUCCACCAUGAUCACCGCCGUCUGCCUAGUCCCUCGCCUACGUCGCACGCUGCCGCUGGAUUGUCUCCGUGGUGACAAUUAAUAAUUGUUCAGCAUUUUGAUGAAAUUCCUGAAAAGCUAAGAAGUC